Molecule: ribosomal RNA, 408 nt
Filed under: Triticum aestivum (bread wheat)
Lineage: Eukaryota; Viridiplantae; Streptophyta; Magnoliopsida; Poales; Poaceae
Description: partial small subunit ribosomal RNA
Source: RNAcentral
AUGCACAUCUCUCAUAUUGGUCAAGCAUCACUUCUCACUAGACAUGCCAAUAGGAGUCUUCAACUUCGCAAUGUUCUUCGAGUUCCAUCUGUGACACGUAAUCUUCUUUCAGUUCCUAAACUCACUCGUGAUAAUAAUGUGCUUUGUGAAUUUCAUCCUUUUGAUCUUUUUAUUAAGGAUCGGGGCACGAGGGACAUUCUUCUUAGUGGGCGGCUCUGCCAAGGUCUCUAUCGUCUGGAGCAUCCUGGCGUCGCUCGCGUCUUCAGUGGAGUUCAGGUAUCUCCGUCACAAUGGCAUGCUCGUCUUGGUCACCCGGCCACACCUAUUGUCCGGCAUGUUUUGCGUCGUCAUGAGCUUCCUAGUGUGUCUAGUAAUAAAGAUGUAGCAGUGUGUGAUGCUUGUCAGUAG